Molecule: non-coding RNA, 3574 nt
Organism: Meleagris gallopavo (turkey)
Lineage: Eukaryota; Metazoa; Chordata; Aves; Galliformes; Phasianidae
Source: RefSeq, a predicted model, not a curated record
UGAAUACCUGUCAGGGCAAUUUUGGCAUAUCUUUGUGGGUAACUUUUGCCUGUCAAGAAGGCCUGUUGCUUCGAUUAAGUACAAGAUGUGAAAGAAGAGGAAGUUUUAUUUAGGUGAGUAUUCCUGUCAUUGAACGGCUUGCUGGACAAAGUCAUGUCAAUGGUAGUUUAGUACUUAAUAACGGAACAAAAAAGAAAUUAAAAAAAAAAACACAACACUGAUGUUUGUUUUAAGAAAUAGCCGUGGUCUCGCUCUGGGCUGAGAAGGGUAUUUCCAGAGUUUGCUGUGUAGCCCACCUAUAGGCACCAGUAGAUGUUCAUGGGGCAGUAAUCAUUGCUCAGCAUGUUGACCUCAUGCUUGCUUUGGGGCAGGAAAAGUUGCUUCCUGGAACUGCAUCCCAUCAUCUGGCAAAACUGCUGCACACUUCAGAUCCUUAAGGUGAAAUGUCAACUCUUUUCAUGUAAAGUUGUAUUGUACAUCACAGUAUCAGGGGUUAGAAGGAACCUCUGGUGCUCACCUAGUCCAACCCCCACUACAGGUAGGCAUCCUGGUGGAUAUUGAGCAUCUCCAGAGAAGGAGAAUCCACAGCCUCUCUGGGUAUAUGUGAGAACUAUUGAUAGCCAGGUGUGAGCUCUGACAGGCAGUGCUUGUGUGGUGCAGGCCCAGCUCAUUUCUCACCUAACUGAAGUGCCCACUGAAUUAUCUGUGUUUCUCUUUCUUUCCUUUGCCAUGACUGAUAGCAUCAUCUGGGGAGAACUCCCCGAUUGCUGAUGAUUAUGAAACCAUAGCUGACCAAACACAGCUGGAUGCAGUGGAGGGUGUGAGCCUGGCCUCUGAGGAGCUGAGAUUGGGCGACCACCUGCCAGGGGAAGAGGCCACAGCUGUGACUCCCGCCUUGGAACCAAAGAUUGACUUGGUCCCUGAGAGAGAGGAGCCGGAGGGUACUGAGCCGCCACGUGUAGCACCGGAGCAGAGCUCAGAGCUGCCAUCUGUGUGGCGAGAGGAAAGCAGUGGGACUCCACCGCCAGCACUGAGGGACAGUGGUGGGCCACCAGCUCCACAACCAGCAGAUGACAGCGGGCUGGUGGAAGGCACUGACAGCUUUGUGGUGGAAACCAUCAAGAAAGUGCAUAUUGCUGAAGAGGACCACUUCAUUGAGGGUGAGACGGGAGAACAGGUGGAAACUGAGCUGCUCAGUCAGAUAGUAAGUGGAGGGCCUGAAACAAAAGAAGAGGAAACAGGAGAAGCUGUGGAUGGCGCAGCAGCGACAGAGAUAGAGACAACUAGUAACAAAGACUAGAAGCUACAUCUGUAUGAACAUCCUCUUCUUGGGCCAGCCCCUCUGACCACAUGAAAGUUUUUUAAUUUUGCUGCAUUGGAAAAAUAGAGCUUUUAUAGAUGGAGCCAUGAACCAGAAUAAGAAGCAUCAAAGGAGGUUUCAUAUAUGUUUUUGAAGUCAAGCUGCCAAGACUUCAAGUGUUUGAAAUACCUGACCUGGUACCUCCCUGCCACAGAGUGCCUUCCGUACAUCGCCAGCACAGCGGGAUGAUUCUGACAGAUGUAUAACCAUCCAGUUUUCAGUUAGGAGUCUUUCCAGGUUCUAACUUCAAACCUCUGAAACCUUCAGCAUUACAUAGGAUAAAGAAUAUAGUGUAGAUUGGUUUUAGUUUUAUUUUAAUGGUGGCACAAGCAAAAAGUCAGAAAUGGAGGUCCUGCUUCUGAGAACUUCUGCAUGUGCAGGUAGUCCCUCUGAGUGCCUGCACAACCAGGUUGUGGAGCUGCUGCAGUGAGCUGCACUCAGAGGAUUGGAACCCUCACUGCCUAUUUGCGGGGUGUAACUAAGUGCAAAGGUUAGUUUUUCAGUCAGUGAAAGAUACACAAGUUGCAACGUACAGUAACCAAGUAGGUGCCUUCUGCUAACUGCUAACUCCAUUUUUAAGCAUAUUUACAAAAAGGAGGAAAAAAGGGCAUUUUUAACCUGGAGGAGAAUGUCAGAGACUUCUAAAGUCUGGCAUACUUAAAAUACAAAUUCACAGUUGUUAGCACGCAUGGUGAUCAAUAGGGCAUCUUUAGCUAUGUAGCUCCUUACUCAUGGCUUCUAAAAUAGAUACCUAACCAGUGACUUAUAUAAGCCUGUUCCCAUAGGAGAGGUCAUUGUUCCAUCCCCCGUUUCUCCAGGAGAAACAUGCAUUCAGGAAUGGUGUUAUGUUCCAGAAUACUAAGGAAGUAUUUCGGAUCUGAAGCUGAAUGACAAAACCUUCAAACAAAAUUUAUGUUGAAAAGAGGCCCCAAAUAUAAUCGGUGUUAUGGAUCUGAUAGAGUAGAACUUUCAUCUGAUGGUGAGUGAUGCAAAGGGACUCUGUAUUUUUAUUGUAGACUGUUUGGGAGACCCUCUGGCAUAAGGAAGUAGAACAUGGAGGAAAGGUCAAGCAUCUCAGAAGGGCAAAUGUUGCUAUUUUUGUUAGCUUUACUGUACAAAAGGCUGAUACUCCUUAGCUGUAUCGCUGCACUUACGGUUUUCUGCCCGUCAGCAAUCUUUUCAGACUGGGCUGGGUUCCUCCUGUAUGCUGGGGAUUUGGUUUGGCUACCAGACCUGAGCUGGCACCACCCAAAUGUAGGGAGUCUGCUGUGCUGACUGCUUGCAAGUUACAUGUUAGAUCCAGAGAUGCAGUUUGACUCGAUAUAUUGAAAGAUUUAAAAGCAGAACUGAUGGCAUUUCCAUAAAGACCAGUAGCAUUAACAGCACCAGCAGAGACAGCAUUUGGAAAUAAAAUAGGAAGGUACAAGAGAGUCAAAGUAAACUGUUCACCUCAGAAUCACUCUCACUGCCACCGUUGUUACAAGGAAGACAGGUGACAAUAUACACUCUUACCUCCUUAUUCAGUUUUUUCAAUCAUUAGAAGCAAUGCUAAUUGGAAACAAGAGGAAGGUUACCCAAUCACUGACUCGGCAGGUCAGCCCUUCUCUGUAUCUUCAGUCUUUAAUAUCUUGUAAUUACAAUAUAUGAAAGCUAUGUUACCUUUUCCUUCCCAAAAAGUGAAAUAUGCUUGGCACUGUGCUAAACAUGAAAUGUUAAUUGUAUUAAUUACAAAAUCAGAAUUCAGAUGCUAGACUUAUGCUGAACAUCCCUUCUUUGAGAAAUAAGACAAUCAGUAUCCCACUGAGGCCUUGUAUUUAUGGUCCCUAACCUACUAAAACGUGUACCGUGCAUAAAGGGCCAAAAUACAUGCAGUUAUUUGCUUCUGCAAACCUCUGGACAUCACAGAGAUUGCCAAGGGCAGAAACUGGUCUGUGGAUUAAACAGCUUUCUCAGCUUAAAUGCUGAGAAGAGGAUACGCUCUGGUACCUGUUUACAAGAUAUACCUGCAGAGCUAGCACAGUGUACCUUAGCAUUUUAUUUUAAAUAUCACCAAAAUAAAAAUGCAUAAAUGUGUAUCAAAAGCUAGACAAUCUUAAAUCUCAAACUUCAUCCAAGCUAGCACUUAUCGUUCCGUGCUACAGUAAGUGUUGAAUAGAAUCACAGAAUGGCCUGUGUUGAAAAGGACCUCAAAGACCACCUAGUUUCAACCCCCUG